Molecule: ribosomal RNA, 253 nt
Filed under: uncultured bacterium
Lineage: Bacteria
Description: partial 16S ribosomal RNA
Rfam family: Bacterial small subunit ribosomal RNA
Source: RNAcentral
UACGAAGGUGGCAAGCGUUGUUCGGAUUCACUGGGCGUACAGGGUGUGUAGGCGGUUUGGUAAGCCUUCUGUUAAAGCUUCGGGCCCAACCCGGAAAGUGCAGAGGGUACUGCCAGGCUAGAGGGCGGGAGAGGAGCGCGGAAUUCCCGGUGUAGCGGUGAGAUGCGUAGAGAUCGGGAGGAAUACCAGUGGCGAAGGCGGCUUUCUGGGUUACCACUGACGCUGAGGAGCGAAAGCGUGGGGAGCGAACGGG